RNAcentral lists this long non-coding RNA (1538 nucleotides) under Canis lupus familiaris (dog). RNAcentral describes it as "lncRNA (ENSCAFG00040002030.1)". The record is from RNAcentral. Lineage: Eukaryota; Metazoa; Chordata; Mammalia; Carnivora; Canidae.
UAACUUCCCGACGACGACCGUUUCUCAUGACCCUGCACAGCACGUUUUUAACUCUCCAAGUCGGGGGGCAGGUGACACGCAGGGCCUUGGUCUUCCUGUCUCCCUGGUGGGCACGGAGCAGAGCGGGGCAGCUCAGACCGGGGGGAGCUCAGGACUCGGUGAAGUGGGCCCCGCGCCACCCCCGUCGUGGACGAAGCCGAUUUGGAGAAACGAGCAGAACCGAGUGCCAGCCGUGGUUCCUUGGGAAGCUUGUGUCGCGAAGGGUUCAAAUGCGACCCAGUGGAGAGGACACACAGAGCAAGAUUCACAGGACCUGGUUCAGAGCUUUCUAGAAGUCCUGAGAUGGGCGGCAGGAAGGGGUGGGUGGAAGGGAAGGGCACGCGGCUCCGCGGUGGAGCGUGGGGCACAGACUUGCCACACGGUCGCUUCGUCAUCGGCAACGGGGAAGACGUGGGGGGGGGCUGCGCGGCCUGUUCACGGCCAACGGGAGGAACGCAACAAGGGGGUGGGAUGCGUGGGCUCUCCCGCACGCGGAGUCCGGAAAGUCACCGUGAACCUCGACACUUCCCAUCUUCCAGGGCCGAGCCCAACGCGGGGCUCGAACUCCCCACCGUGUGACCGAGACCUGAGCCAAGAUCAAGAGCGACACGCUUAGCCGACCGAGCCACCCAGAAGCCCCACGGAGGGUCGUUUUUAAUAACAUGAUAGAAACCUGAAAAAGAAUACAAUACCAUGUGGCACGCAGCGCGUUUUCCUGACUGCCAUGAAGAACCGUGGCUUUGUGCAGCUUGGUGCAUCCCAGGGUGCUCCGCGGGGAGACUCCUGGCCGGAUCGAGCCGUGCCCAGCAGCUGGCCAGCGCGCCAGAAACGAAUGCAAUCCCAGGUCAGCUCGAUCACCAUUUUUGCUUUCUGGCUAUUCUAGUCGUCCUAACACUUGGAUAGAGCUUCUUUGUUUGAAAUUGCUUUUUAUAUAUGUAUGUGCUUUUUACACCCCAGCUUCAGCUGGCUGGGGAAAGCGCCGAGAGGGUGAGUCUGGUUUCCUGCAUGGGACUGCGCUCGCGCCUUGGGUACCGAUGGGGAGUCCCACGCUGGGCAGCAGGAGUACCGUGGACCCCGGUGCCAAGAAACUCAGCCCGGUCCCCAGACGGCCGGCAGGGCUGCCUCAGGGGGCAGCACUUCCUGACCCUGGGCCCAUGUGCCCCCGCAGCGUGCAGCCCUCCGCCCCACCCAUGAGGGGGACAGCAUGUGGGGUCCCAACUCAGCACCCUCGGGACUUCUCACAGCUUCCCUGAGAGGAGGCUGCCCCGCUUGUUGGAGACCAUGAAACCCAGGAAAGGGCCCCUGCAGGUGUCACAGGGCUUGCACGCGCACCCAGGGCCACCCAGUCCAUCGCCCUGACUUCCCGGCAUCACCAGGGACACACCACCCACCACCCAUCUGGGCACCAAGACACCCCCCCCCACCGGCCCUCCUGCUGCUGAAGCCCAGGGACCCUUUGUGAGGUGGGGAUUGUACCCCAGCCCGAGCCGCUCCCCCAC